GCCAGGUGUAGUAGCUCACAUCUGUAAUCCCAGUGGCUAGGGAGGCUGAGAUAGGAGGAUUCCAAGUUCAAGACCAGCCUCAGCAAUUUAGUGAGGCCCUAAGCAACUUAGCAAGACCCUGUCUCAA
RNAcentral lists this small RNA (127 nucleotides) under Marmota monax (woodchuck). The record is from RNAcentral. Lineage: Eukaryota; Metazoa; Chordata; Mammalia; Rodentia; Sciuridae.